GGAAUAUUGGACAAUGGGGGCAACCCUGAUCCAGCAAUGCCGCGUGUGUGAAGAAGGCCUGCGGGUUGUAAAGCACUUUCAACGGGGAAGAAAAGCCUACGGAUAAUACCCGUAAGUCUUGACGUUACCCGUAGAAGAAGCACCGGCUAACUCCGUGCCAGCAGCCGCGGUAAUACGGAGGGUGCGAGCGUUAAUCGGAAUUACUGGGCGUAAAGCGCACGUAGGUGGUUUGGUAAGUCGGAUGUGAAAUCCCCGGGCUUAACCUGGGAAUGGCAUUCGAUACUGCCAGGCUAGAGUAUGGUAGAGGGAAGUGGAAUUCCGGGUGUAGCGGUGAAAUGCGUAGAUAUCCGGAGGAACACCAGUGGCGAAGGCGGCUUCCUGGACCAAUACUGACACUGAGGUGCGAAAGCGUGGGGAGCA
RNAcentral lists this ribosomal RNA (420 nucleotides) under uncultured bacterium. RNAcentral describes it as "bacterial SSU rRNA". It matches the Rfam family "Bacterial small subunit ribosomal RNA", at positions 358 to 770 of the family's 1533-position model. The record is from RNAcentral.